GCUCUUCCCUGCAUAACUUUACAACUGACAGUACUCGAUCCUCUUGAAUGCAAAGGCUGUCAGCACCAUGCCUUACAGUUUACAAAAUUAAAUCAUAACUGUUACAGAAAUGCCCCUAAUUUUCCUCUAGGCUUAGGCUCUGCUCCUUAAAUUUCUUUUGAGAACUACCAGGAUGGAGGGAUACGAAUGGUUUGUCGAUCAGCAGGGUGGUUCCCUGAGCCCAGAGUGCUGUGGAGAGACCAAAGUGGACAGAAUUUAACACCACUUUCUGGAACCAGCUCCAAGGGGAAGGACGGCCUGUUUGAAAUAGAAAACUCUAUCAUUAUAUAUGAACAUUCGCACCAGAACUUGUCCUGUUGGAUCAAAAAUAACUUACUCAAUCAAGUGAAGGAGUUGGCAGUUUUUAUAUCAGAUCCCUUUUUCCCAAAGGUGAAUCCCUGGAUGGCGGCACUGUGUGUGAUGCUAGUGGUUUUAUUCGGCUUCAUUCUCCUGACUGUUUAUCUCCUCAAGAUAAAAUGUAAGUUUUCUAAGGCUUGUUAUUGUCUGUUUAGUAAGGGAGUUUUCUUCUAAUACUUUAAUCUAACUUAUAUGGGAAAUAAUGCCCAUUAAGAAAUAGUGAAACCAGCUUUACCACGUGCAUAAUACAAAUGUUUCAGA
RNA transcript from Gavialis gangeticus (Gharial), 657 nucleotides. It is a transcript of the gene named butyrophilin-like protein 9, with no coding region annotated. NCBI's taxonomy places the organism in Eukaryota, Metazoa, Chordata, Crocodylia, Gavialidae. The transcript has 2 exons. The record is from RefSeq and is a predicted model, not a curated record.